GAACGCACCUUGCACUCCUUGGUAUUCCGAGGAGUAUGCCUGUUUGAGUGUCAUUAAAUUCUCAAUCCUCUCAAACUUGUUUUGUAGAGGCUUUGGAUUUUGGAGUGUUGCUGGCCUUUCAAAGUCGGCUCCUCUUAAAUGUAUUAGCUUGUAUAUUUUUGCAGAUAAGCUUUAGUUUGAUAAAUAUCUAUCUAAUUGCUUUGAAGCAAAUGUCAGCUUCCAAUUGUUGUUUUACAACACUUUCUUGACAUUUUUGACCUCAAAUCAGGUAGGACUACCCGCUGAACUUA
Molecule: unclassified non-coding RNA, 290 nt
Filed under: Hygrophorus hedrychii
Lineage: Eukaryota; Fungi; Basidiomycota; Agaricomycetes; Agaricales; Hygrophoraceae
Description: sequence contains 5.8S rRNA gene
Rfam family: 5.8S ribosomal RNA (bases 1-53)
Source: RNAcentral